AACCCUAAAAUUUUCCCCUUUCCCUCUCACUCUCGUCUAUUCAUUGUGUUUUUCACAAAUUAUUAACACCCCUCACCAUAGUUGAGACACAGACACAUAGUAGCUUCUCAGCCACUAUCGGAGGUAAUCAGCCCCUUCUCUCUCAGAGGUAACUUAUUCUUCUAUCUCUUGUUCGAUAACAUGUUGCCAGAUUCUUAUUGUUACGUUUUAGAUUUCAUAAUUACGUUUUAGUUCGCGAGAUUAAGAAUUAGGGUUUAUGUAUAAGAUGUUCCCAAGUUCCGAAUGAAAGAAUUAAGAGGACUGGUCUCAAUGUUUUGGGGCCCCAUUUUUUAACUUUGUAUGUGUUUCUUUCAUCUUCACCUUUUAUUCAUAGAUCUGUCCCACAUUAAUAUGCACUUACAGAUUAUUUUUAAAUUCUAAAAUGUUGAUUAUAAUUUGAAUUUUGGUGUGAAAGUGACUGACAACUCAACCUUUUUGGAUGUCUAAAUCGAAAUGAAAAUAUGAACAUGCAGAUUAUUUGUUCUUCCAAUUGGUAUACUAAUAAUACAAUGUAAAUGAGGUUAUAUAUAAGUAUACUUCAGGCAUCUUUUGACCCAUUUCUUUUUAAGCUAUUAUGUUUAACCUGUUUGUGCAAUUGUAAAGGUAAGUAUACUUCAGGCAUCAGGGUUACAUUUUUUUUUAAUUUCAAGAUGAUUUUUGGAGAAUAAGAACACAAAUAUAGGAUUUGUGUUGCCUUUUAACAGAUUCAUACAGAAUGUCUUGAAUAGAGUUUCAAAACAGAUUCAUACAGAAUGUCUUGACUAGAGUUUCAAACUUGUACAGUUGGUUACAAUAUUCUUGUAACAUGUAUUUUACAAUCCAUCAACUAAUGAAAUGUAUCACAGACGAAAAAAAAGAACAAGAAGAUAAACGAAUCGCACAAAUAUCAAUACAUAAGAAAAACUAUACAUUUUUCUUUUCGGAACACCCUGAAGAAGAUUCCACCCGGUACCGGUAGUACAUGUAAGGGUCUCCCUCAAAGAAGACUUCACUUUGAUCCAUGUGAGUAAUGCUGACAUGGAUAUCGUAGUUCCCAAUAUCACGUUGUGCGUUUUGAAUUCUAUUUACAGACUCGAGAACACGAGAGUUUGAAGAAUCAAUAUUAAUAUACUCAAGUGUGGAGAUGUUUCCUAGUACUAGUGGAAUUUCUCUUGGAUCUUUACAACUUCUCACUGCUAGUUUCCUGAGGCUUGGAAAGUUGAUGCUAGAAACUUCCCAGACACGGAUGUUCAGCCUUGUUAACUUCAAAUACUUCAACUGGUGAAACUGCUCAUCACCAGUUUCCCACAGGUAUUCCGUGAACGAAGAGUUAAUAGUCAACAGAGCAGUUUAGAAGCACCACCAAGGCCAUAAUUUGUGUUGUUGAUUUGUGUGAGUAGCGAUUUGCAGAGUUAACAGUCAACAGAGCAGUUGUGCUUAAUAGGAAAUUAUGGCGGAUGUCAUGCCAAGAAGACAUGGAGGCGAUGGUGCUGGAGAUCCACCACCUCCUAGCAGUUUUUGGCGGGGCUAGCAUGAAGAGGACCGUUGAAUAUAGUGAAUUGGCUGAUGCGGCGACAAUAAGGAGUAAGUGCAUGGAACAACUAUGAAGUGGGAAAUAUGAUUGCUAAGAAAGAGUUAACACAAUGAAUAUUUUACUCGCAUGAAGAUUGUGAAAGAAAUUUAUGAACACAAUGGAGUUUUGCGUUUUUGUUCAAACAUUUUUUAAAAUAUUUGUUUUGUAUGUUCGAUAUUUAGACUUAGGUUGACACUUAUUAGUUAUUUCUUUGCAAACAUUUGGAAUCUUUGAAAGAUGAUUGAUUGAACUUUUUAAUUGAAUUGAUUAUAUUAUUCUGAUUUC
Long non-coding RNA from Helianthus annuus (common sunflower), 1876 nucleotides. RefSeq lists it as uncharacterized. The record is from RefSeq and is a predicted model, not a curated record. Lineage: Eukaryota; Viridiplantae; Streptophyta; Magnoliopsida; Asterales; Asteraceae. The transcript is spliced from 3 exons.